RNAcentral lists this ribosomal RNA (468 nucleotides) under uncultured bacterium. Its description in RNAcentral is "partial 16S ribosomal RNA". It matches the Rfam family "Bacterial small subunit ribosomal RNA", at positions 28 to 507 of the family's 1533-position model. The record is from RNAcentral.
GACGAACGCUGGCGGCGUGCUUAACACAUGCAAGUCGAACGGUGAUGCUCCAGCUUGCUGGAGUGGGUCAGUGGCGAACGGGUGAGUAACACGUGAGCAACCUGCCCCAGACUCUGGAAUAAGCGCUGGAAACGGCGUCUAAUACUGGAUACGAAACUGGCCCGCAUGGGCAUGGUUUGGAAAGUUUUUCGGUUUGGGAUGGGCUCGCGGCCUAUCAGCUUGUUGGUGAGGUAAUGGCUCACCAAGGCGACGACGGGUAGCCGGCCUGAGAGGGCGACCGGCCACCCUGGGACUGAGACACGGCCCAGACUCCUACGGGAGGCAGCAGUGGGGAAUAUUGCACCAUGGGCGAAAGCCUGAUGCAGCGACGCCGCGUGAGGGAUGACGGCCUUCGGGUUGUAAACCUCUUUCAGCAGGGAAGAAGCGAAAGUGACGGUACCUGCAGAAGAAGCACCGGCUAACUACGUG